RNAcentral lists this transfer RNA (62 nucleotides) under Pellia epiphylla. RNAcentral describes it as "partial tRNA-His". It matches the Rfam family "tRNA", at positions 1 to 58 of the family's 71-position model. From Rfam's summary of the family: Transfer RNA (tRNA) molecules are approximately 80 nucleotides in length. Lineage: Eukaryota; Viridiplantae; Streptophyta; Jungermanniopsida; Pelliales; Pelliaceae. The record is from RNAcentral.
GGCGGACGUAGCCAAGUGGAUUAAGGCAGUGGAUUGUGGAUCCUCCAGGCGCGGGUUCAAUC